CAAAUGCAUGAAUCUUGUACUUUCAGUUUAUGCCUUUCACAUAAUUUCUUAACUUUGGUGCUUCUCUAACUUUCGUCACUCAUGUAAUGUAGACUUGGGCUAAUUUUUUCUCAAAGAUUGAGCUGCGAGUUACAUCAAUUUGAUAGUAUCAGCUCACAACAGAAGUUGUUAAUCAUUAUAUUGCAGUUGCCAGGAACAAGAAGAGACGAAGUUGGUGUCUUUUACAUUUUAAGAGGAUGAGGAGAGAUGAAGAAAGAGUUUAUAGCGUUGGAUCUCUAGAGAGACACAAUUAUGGCCUUGGGUCCUACUUCUGAUCCUGAUGAACAUCACUCUCAAGCACCACUUUAGUUAGCUUUGUCUUUCUGACUCUAUUCUAUUAGUUGAAGAACAACUAUGAACGUUGUUGUUGCUUUAGGUUUUAUGUAUUUUUGGAUCUACUUGUUAAACUUUAAAUGACUGUAUGAAAUUAGGUUCUUGUAAUGUUAA
Molecule: long non-coding RNA, 486 nt
Organism: Lycium ferocissimum
Lineage: Eukaryota; Viridiplantae; Streptophyta; Magnoliopsida; Solanales; Solanaceae
Exons: 3
Source: RefSeq, a predicted model, not a curated record